ACCCAGUUGGCUCAGGAGGAAGAGCAUGUGACUGUUGAUCUCAGGGUCAUGGGUUUGAGCCCUAUACUGUGUG
Molecule: transfer RNA, 73 nt
Filed under: Canis lupus familiaris (dog)
Lineage: Eukaryota; Metazoa; Chordata; Mammalia; Carnivora; Canidae
Also listed under: 2 other names
Rfam family: tRNA
About the family: Transfer RNA (tRNA) molecules are approximately 80 nucleotides in length. Their secondary structure includes four short double-helical elements and three loops (D, anti-codon, and T loops).
Source: Rfam by way of RNAcentral